RNAcentral lists this transfer RNA (75 nucleotides) under Bellilinea caldifistulae. RNAcentral's name for it is "tRNA-Arg". It matches the Rfam family "tRNA". From Rfam's summary of the family: Transfer RNA (tRNA) molecules are approximately 80 nucleotides in length. The record is from RNAcentral. Lineage: Bacteria; Bacillati; Chloroflexota; Anaerolineae; Anaerolineales; Anaerolineaceae.
GCGCCCGUAGUGAAGUGGAUAUCACAUUACCCUCCGGAGGUAAGAGCCCGAGUUCGAGUCUCGGCGGGCGCACUA